AUUGAACGCUGGCGGCAUGCUUUACACAUGCAAGUCGAACGGCAGCGCGGGCUUCGGCCUGGCGGCGAGUGGCGAACGGGUGAGUAAUGCAUCGGAACGUGCCCAGUAGUGGGGGAUAGCCCGGCGAAAGCCGGAUUAAUACCGCAUACGACCUGAGGGUGAAAGCGGGGGUCCGAAAGGCCUCGCGCUAUUGGAGCGGCCGAUGUCGGAUUAGCUAGUUGGUGGGGUAAAGGCUUACCAAGGCGACGAUCCGUAGCUGGUCUGAGAGGACGACCAGCCACACUGGGACUGAGACACGGCCCAGACUCCUACGGGAGGCAGCAGUGGGGAAUUUUGGACAAUGGGGGCAACCCUGAUCCAGCCAUGCCGCGUGCGGGAAGAAGGCCUUCGGGUUGUAAACCGCUUUUGUUCGGGAAGAAAUCCUCUGGGCUAAUACCCCGGGGGGAUGACGGUACCGGAAGAAUAAGCACCGGCUAACUACGUG
RNAcentral lists this ribosomal RNA (484 nucleotides) under uncultured bacterium. RNAcentral describes it as "partial 16S ribosomal RNA". It matches the Rfam family "Bacterial small subunit ribosomal RNA", at positions 28 to 507 of the family's 1533-position model. The record is from RNAcentral.